Molecule: long non-coding RNA, 708 nt
Filed under: Drosophila guanche
Lineage: Eukaryota; Metazoa; Arthropoda; Insecta; Diptera; Drosophilidae
Source: RNAcentral
CCCCCACCCAUGCUGCCCAACCCCCUCCGAGCAGUAUUCCCCUUCGGGCCACCUACUUUCAAUGAACUGUCCAAAGCAGCAGCAUCAACCGAACAGGGCUAAAAAAAAAUGGCCAACAUUAUGCGGAGAGCAGCUAAGAGGAGCAGGAGGACAGAAGAAUGGUGUAAAGGAGGUGAGGCCGUGUGGCAGAGGCUGUGGCAGUGGCAGCGAGUGCAAAAAGGCUCUCAAAUGGGGUUGUCAGUAUUUAACCCAAAGGGGUUGGAGGUGCCGCCCGACUGCGCGAACUCCGAGCAGUCUCUGGUCUCUGGUCUCUGGCCGCUGCCGCACACAACAAUGUAAUGGGUGGCACUGCUGCUGUCGGUUCUGUUUGGGGCUGGUGGGAGACAGAGAGAGGAUCUGAGUAACAUACGAGGCACCAACAAGAGGUGCCGAGAACCACGAGAUUAGGUUCACAGGCAACGGAGGAGCAGACGCCUGCAGGAUGUUGCAGAGAGAGGAGCAUGGACCCCACAUAUAACUCAUGGAAAAUGCGCGUACGGGAGCGGGACAUGUCAUCUAUCCAAUUGAAUUAGACUCCGAGUGGGGGCCAGAGAGAGACAUCUAGAGACAUCGAGCGGUGUUAAUAAAAAGCAAAUACUCUUACAAUUUUUUCUAACCAUUUUUUGUAUAUUUUUAUAAGAAAACAGCACAAAUUCCGAUACAGUUAAU